This 497-nucleotide ribosomal RNA is filed under the name uncultured bacterium. RNAcentral's name for it is "partial 16S ribosomal RNA". It matches the Rfam family "Bacterial small subunit ribosomal RNA", at positions 28 to 507 of the family's 1533-position model. The record is from RNAcentral.
GAUGAACGCUGGCGGCAUGCCUAAUACAUGCAAGUCGAACGAACACACGAGGAGCUUUCUCCUCUGACUUUAGCGGCGGACGGGUGAGUAACACGUGUAUAACAUACCUAUAAGACUGGGAUAACUUCGGGGAACCGGAGCUAAUACCGGAAAAUAUAUUGAACCUCAAGGUUCAAUAGUUAAAGACGGUUUUGCUGUCGCUUAUAGCUGAAUCCGCGCCGCAUUAGCUAGUUGGUAAGGUAACGGCUUACCAAGGCAACGAUGCGUAGCCGACCUGAGAGGGUGAUCGGCCACACUGGAACUGAGACACGGUCCAGACUCCUACGGGAGGCAGCAGUAGGGAAUCUUGCGCAAUGGGCGAAAGCGUGAUGGAGCAACGCCGCGUGAAUGAUGAAGGUCUUCGGAUCGUAAAGUUCUGUUAGCAGGGAAGAAGGAAUGUGUAUGUAACUAUGAACGUAUUGACGGUACCGAAUGAGAAAGCCACGGCUAACUCCGUG